Molecule: ribosomal RNA, 301 nt
Filed under: uncultured bacterium
Lineage: Bacteria
Description: partial 16S ribosomal RNA
Rfam family: Bacterial small subunit ribosomal RNA
Source: RNAcentral
CAGUCGCCACGGGAAUACGUAGGGUGCAAGCGUUAAUCGGAAUUACUGGGCGUAAAGCGUGCGCAGGCGGUCCGCUAAGACAGAUGUGAAAUCCCCGGGCUUAACCUGGGAACUGCAUUUGUGACUGGCGGGCUAGAGUAUGGCAGAGGGGGGUAGAAUUCCACGUGUAGCAGUGAAAUGCGUAGAGAUGUGGAGGAAUACCGAUGGCGAAGGCAGCCCCCUGGGCCAAUACUGACGCUCAUGCACGAAAGCGUGGGGAGCAAACAGGAUUAGAUACCCCUGUAGUCCCUGUCCCUUAUAC